AACAAAGUACCAAACACUUUGGGUACCAUAUUUUCACUUUCAAAAAUUUAUUCAAAGCAAGGCAGUUACAAAUAACAGCCCGAGUAAUAUACUAAUAUCAAGGUCCUAAGACAUCAAGAAGCUCCGAAUUCUCAUAGCUCAUUAUUCAAGAUCAUCUGCAAUGCACUACAAUAAAUUGUACCAAUAAUGCUUUAUAAUGAAUGAGAAAACUAAUGAAAUCACCAUGUAUGUUGAGUAUAAUUGGGUAGUAAACAACAAAUGUUGUGGAAUGAAAUCACUAUAAAAAAAUAAAAUAAAACAAUAAAUGUUGUGGGAAUGAAAUCACCAUAUAUGUUGAGUAUAAUUGGGUAGUAAACAAAGUACCAAAACACUUUGGGUUCCAUAUUUUCACUUUCAAAAAUUUAUUCAAAGCAAGGCAGUUAAAAAUAGCAGCCCGAGUAAUAUACUAAUAUCAAGGUCCUAAGACAUCGAGAUGCUCCGAAUUCUCAUAGCUCAUUAUUCAAGAUAAUCUGCAAUUCACUACAAUAAAUUGUACCAAUAAUGCUUUAUAAUGA
Molecule: long non-coding RNA, 554 nt
Filed under: Citrus sinensis (sweet orange)
Lineage: Eukaryota; Viridiplantae; Streptophyta; Magnoliopsida; Sapindales; Rutaceae
Description: long non-coding RNA (CSIN_LNC001503)
Source: RNAcentral